Molecule: ribosomal RNA, 505 nt
Filed under: Nectriaceae sp. bc_sqmc_25_5c
Lineage: Eukaryota; Fungi; Ascomycota; Sordariomycetes; Hypocreales; Nectriaceae
Description: eukaryotic LSU rRNA
Rfam family: 5.8S ribosomal RNA (bases 137-290)
Source: RNAcentral
CUCCCAAACCCCUGUGAACAUACCAAUUGUUGCCUCGGCGGAUCAGCCCGCUCCCGGUAAAACGGGACGGCCCGCCAGAGGACCCCUAAACUCUGUUUCUAUAUGUAACUUCUGAGUAAAACCAUAAAUAAAUCAAAACUUUCAACAACGGAUCUCUUGGUUCUGGCAUCGAUGAAGAACGCAGCAAAAUGCGAUAAGUAAUGUGAAUUGCAGAAUUCAGUGAAUCAUCGAAUCUUUGAACGCACAUUGCGCCCGCCAGUAUUCUGGCGGGCAUGCCUGUUCGAGCGUCAUUUCAACCCUCAAGCCCCCGGGUUUGGUGUUGGGGAUCGGCGAGCCCUUGCGGCAAGCCGGCCCCGAAAUCUAGUGGCGGUCUCGCUGCAGCUUCCAUUGCGUAGUAGUAAAACCCUCGCAACUGGUACGCGGCGCGGCCAAGCCGUUAAACCCCCAACUUCUGAAUGUUGACCUCGGAUCAGGUAGGAAUACCCGCUGAACUUAAGCAUAUCAA